RNAcentral lists this transfer RNA (71 nucleotides) under Ovis aries (sheep). It matches the Rfam family "tRNA". From Rfam's summary of the family: Transfer RNA (tRNA) molecules are approximately 80 nucleotides in length. Their secondary structure includes four short double-helical elements and three loops (D, anti-codon, and T loops). The record is from Rfam by way of RNAcentral. Lineage: Eukaryota; Metazoa; Chordata; Mammalia; Artiodactyla; Bovidae.
UCUCUGAUGACUCAGUGGUAAAGAAUCCGCCUGCAGUGCGGGAGACCCAGGUUCGAUCCCUGGGUUGGGAC